Molecule: ribosomal RNA, 478 nt
Filed under: uncultured bacterium
Lineage: Bacteria
Description: partial 16S ribosomal RNA
Rfam family: Bacterial small subunit ribosomal RNA
Source: RNAcentral
GACGAACGCUGGCGGCGUGCUUAACACAUGCAAGUCGAACGGUAAGGCCCUUCGGGGUACACGAGUGGCGAACGGGUGAGUAACACGUGGGUGAUCUGCCCUGCACUUCGGGAUAAGCCUGGGAAACUGGGUCUAAUACCGGAUAGGACCACUGCCUGCAUGGGUGGUGGUGGAAAGCUUUUGCGGUGUGGGAUGGGCCCGCGGCCUAUCAGCUUGUUGGUGGGGUGAUGGCCUACCAAGGCGACGACGGGUAGCUGGCCUGAGAGGGUGACCGGCAACACUGGGACUGGGAUACGGCCCAGACUCCUACGGGAGGCAGCAGUGGGGAAUAUUGCACAAUGGGCGCAAGCCUGAUGCAGCGACGCCGCGUGAGGGAUGACGGCCUUCGGGUUGUAAACCUCUUUCAGCACCGACGAAGCGCAAGUGACGGUAGGUGCAGAAGAAGGACCGGCCAACUACGUGCCAGCCGCCGCCGUAA